Molecule: unclassified non-coding RNA, 220 nt
Filed under: uncultured Chaetothyriales
Lineage: Eukaryota; Fungi; Ascomycota; Eurotiomycetes; Chaetothyriales
Description: sequence contains ITS1
Source: RNAcentral
UCGAGUAAGGGUGUCGAACUUUACGCGCCCGACCUCCAACCCUUUGUCUACCACACCUCGCGUUGCUUCGGCAGGCCCGCCGGGGCCCGUCAGGGUCUCUUCCUGACGGUGCCCCAGCCGCCGGGGGUCCCUCGUGACCCCGGGCCCGCGCCUGUCGACGGCCCCCUACAAAACUCUUGUCGAAACGUGUCGUCUGAGUUACUUAAACACAAUCAAAACA